RNAcentral lists this ribosomal RNA (253 nucleotides) under uncultured bacterium. RNAcentral's name for it is "partial 16S ribosomal RNA". It matches the Rfam family "Bacterial small subunit ribosomal RNA", at positions 524 to 776 of the family's 1533-position model. The record is from RNAcentral.
UACGAAGGGCGCAAGCGUUACUCGGAAUUACUGGGCGUAAAGCGUGCGUAGGUGGCUCGUUAAGUCUGAUGUGAAAGCCCUGGGCUCAACCUGGGAAUGGCAUUGGAAACUGGCGAUCUAGAGUGCGGUAGAGGGUAGUGGAAUUCCCGGUGUAGCAGUGAAAUGCGUAGAGAUCGGGAGGAACAUCUGUGGCGAAGGCGACUGCCUGGACCAGCACUGACACUGAGGCACGAAAGCGUGGGGAGCAAACAGG